RNAcentral lists this ribosomal RNA (497 nucleotides) under uncultured bacterium. RNAcentral describes it as "partial 16S ribosomal RNA". It matches the Rfam family "Bacterial small subunit ribosomal RNA", at positions 28 to 507 of the family's 1533-position model. The record is from RNAcentral.
GAUGAACGCUGGCGGCGUGCCUAAUACAUGCAAGUCGAGCGAACAGAUGAGGAGCUUGCUCCUCUGACGUUAGCGGCGGACGGGUGAGUAACACGUGGAUAACCUACCUAUAAGACUGGGAUAACUUCGGGAAACCGGAGCUAAUACCGGAUAAUAUAUUGAACCGCAUGGUUCAAUAGUGAAAGACGGUUUUGCUGUCACUUAUAGAUGGAUCCGCGCCGCAUUAGCUAGUUGGUAAGGUAACGGCUUACCAAGGCAACGAUGCGUAGCCGACCUGAGAGGAUGAGCAGCAACAAGGGAAGUGAGAAACGGGAAAGACUACGCAGGGAGGGAGCAGUGGGGAAUCUGGGACAAGGGGCGAAAGCAUGAACCAGCCAGACAGAGGGGGAGAAGAAGGCUUUCGGGUGGUAAACCCUUGUUGUUGGGAAAGAAAAGCAGAAGGUUAAUAAACCGCUGUCCUGACGGUACCUAAAGAGUAAGAAACGGCUAAAUUCGUG